RNAcentral lists this ribosomal RNA (271 nucleotides) under uncultured archaeon. Its description in RNAcentral is "partial 16S ribosomal RNA". It matches the Rfam family "Archaeal small subunit ribosomal RNA", at positions 477 to 747 of the family's 1478-position model. The record is from RNAcentral.
CAGCGCCACAAGUGGUGAUCAGCAUUAUUGGGCCUAAAGCGUCCGUAGCCUGUUAAGUCAAUCCUUUGUGAAAUUGUUGUGCUCAACGUAACGAAAUGCAUAGGAGACUGCUUAACUAGGGACCGGGAGGAGUAAGAAGUAUUCUUGGGGGAGCGGUAAAAUGUUAUAAUCCCAAGAAGACUACCUGUGGCGAAGGCGUCUUACUAGAACGGGUCCGACGGUGAGGGACGAAAGCUAGGGGAGCGAACCGGAUUAGAUACCCGAGUAGUCC